UCCAUAUUUUCCUCUUUUUCUGAUUUAACCUCGUCACUCUCCUCAUUCACUCCGCAAUUUUCCAUUAAAUUUGAGUCUCCUCGUUCUCUCGCGUGCGCCGUUUCUUUGUCUCUCUUCCAAAACUGAUUGAUCUCAUUUACUGCUGCUAUAAAUCUCGAUGGAUUGCUCACUCUCUCUUUCUGUUGGUGCCAUUUCCAUUUCUACUUUUCUCUCACUACUCCAUCUACCGCUCUUUCCCUUUCCUCGCCGGAACCCUAAUUCGAUCCGCCGGAACUCAAAAAACCACCGCCGAGUAGGUGAUUGGAGAAUAGGUGAUAGAUCAAAAGAAGCUGGAUUUCUUUGCCGAACGGAGAGAGAUCCAUCCAUCAAGCAAUGGCAACCAAAGGAUGUAACAAGCUACCGACUAUUUUUUAUCUAAACAAAUCUCUUCAAGACAUCAUAGAGGAGGUCAAAAGAAGAAAUAUUUGUCUCUUUGACAUACUACCAGUUGUUAAAUCAGACUUGCUAGUUCCAUUAGUGGAGGAACUAUUAAGUUACUAUGAUCAUGAGAAAAACCUUUUCGAAAUCAACGGGCAUAAACUUGCUGUUACUUUGGAAGACAUUUUAUACAUAACUGGUUUGCCCAUUCGGGGCAAACCAAUUAUGAAAGCUUCUAAAGAAAAUGGGGCUUUCGAACGUGUUUUUGGAAUCAACAACAAAAAGCCUUGCAGUAUUAAGAGGCUGAAGGAGCUGGCAGGCAAUUCAAAUCUUGAUAUUGAUACUAGAGUGAAGGCAGCUCUACUGGUGUUAAUUGCCUGCGUUGUUAUACCUACCGGUGACACGCACACUAUAAGGGGAGAUUUUGUCAGUUAUGUUGAAAGACUUGAGGACGUUGACAACUAUGCAUGGGGAGCAGCUCUUCUCGCAUUUUUGUACAGUGGUAUUUGCAAAUGGAAGGUUGGUAGGCAAAAAAGUGUAAUCGAUGGCAACCUUUGGGUUGUAUUGGCGUUUUUUCUUAUCCGCAUUCCAGACUUGGUAGAAGCUAUUGAUCUCAAUCUAAACUUGGAUGGGCAACAAGUACCUUUGCUGCUUCCAGUAGUGGAGGCGGUAAGCACAAUUUCCCACAACCACAAACCCACUUACAUAAGCAAAGUACAGAAAAUGCUAGACACUCUUACUGAGGAGCAAAUAUGUUGGAAGCCGUACAAAUUAGAUCUUCAUCGUCCUAUACUGAGGGAUCAGGAAAUGUACAAGCUGCUUCUGGCCCCAAUUUGUUGUAUGAGUGCCGUACAUUACCAUACACCUCAUUAUGUCCACAAGCAAUUGGAAGAACUUGAGGUCGUAGAUGUGAAUAAGAUAAUGUGGAAACUACCCAAAUGCAAGAAAAGAAAAGGAAAUAGUGGACCGACUCCCCAAACGUUUUUAUCUGAUUUCGAGCUUCAACAAUGGAAUGAAGGGAGACUGGUAAUCAACUAUCUGCAGGGUCAUGAAGAUGAUGGUAUGGUUUAUCAACCCGGGAGUCAUGUAGAGAAUGUUAUGGUUGAUAAACCUGAGGCUUCUAACGCUAGGGAUGUAUAUUCCUUCAUACAUGUUGUUGAUCUAUCCGAGACAAGUAUGGUUGAUCAACCCAGGAGGAAUGUAGAGAAUGUUAUGGAUGAUCAGCCCGAUAGGCAUGUAGGUAUUGUUAUGGUUCAUCAACCCGAGACUUCUAACUCUAGGGAUGUAGAUUCUGAAGUACAUGUUGAUGAUCAACCCGAGAAAUCUAUUCACGCAGAUGACCAUGAGCUUAAGAGGAUGAAGCAUGUUGGCUCUGCUUCUGUUGAUGAAAAGGAAGAUUUUGAAGUCCAAAUAGUUGAGGAAGCAGGCAUUUCUUUUCCUGAUGGGUUUUCUAAACUGGAAAUUAAUCCUUGUCCUGUUGCUGGAAAUGAAAAUACAAAAAUAUCCGACUAUACUAGACAGUUAUUAUGGGAGACACACAACAGCUGUCUGCAUGAUCUGGAUACUAGUGCUACUGAAAGUAUUGAUGAACCUCAAAAAAUUCAAAGUGGUAUGGUUGAUCACGAGUGUACAAAAGAAGCUAGUGUGGUUGCUGUCCUAUGUGAAUCAAUAGAGAAACAGGGUGAUGAGGUUACUGUUUCUUCUAUUAAGGAUGAUAAGGAGGCAAUACAAGAGCAUCAUGACAAGCCAUACUCGAAAUUAUCAGAACCUCCUAGAAAUGGAAGCAAAGGUAAGACUCCCGCAAAACGGUCAGAAAAAGGGGAUAGAUCAACCAGUGUACCUCUGAGCCCAUCAUCUGGUUUCCAGCUGUUGCAAUCCAACGAGGCACAUCAGUAUAGGAAUAUUGAUUCCAUCAGUACAAAGCCAUUUUCAGAUUUGAAUGCCUCUGCUUCUCAGUCUGUUAUGUUUCAACAGCCUUUUAUGGAUGUUCAGCAAGUACAGCUGCGUGCACAGAUCUUUGUCUAUGGAGCUUUGAUUCAAGGCAUAGUACCCGAGGAGGCUUAUAUGUUAUUGGCUUUUGGCGGUUCAGAUGGUGGACGGAACUUUUGGGAGAAAGCCUGGUCUUCCUACUUGGAAAGGCAGCAGAGUCACAAGUCUAAUUUAAUUAAUCCAGAAACACCACUGCAAUUACUAUCAGGUACUAGAACCCCUGAUUUGGCAGUUAAGCAAAGUGAACUGCACGGAACAGGUAUUUCUUCCCCUCUUGGCCUAGCAAGUAGCAAGGGCACUCCAACCAUUGUAAACCCUUUCAUUCACCUGUCAUCUCCCCUUUGGAAUCUACCGUCUCCCUCACAGGCAUUUGUUUCAUUGCAUCCUAAUCAAACUCCACCACUGAGAAACUUCCUUGGGUAUAAUACAUCUAUGAUAUCCCAAUCCCCCCUUUUUGGACCACAAAUUGCUUCUGCUAGUCCUCCACCUGAUAACAGUUCCAAUCUCUCUGCUUCUCCUCUGACUCUUGCUGAUCGCCUCAAAAGUGGCUGGAAUGUUGAGAAGAGGAUUAUGUCAGACGAGUCUCUUACAAAAAUUGAGGAGGCAAAAGUAAAUGCAAAGGAAGCUUCUGCUUCUGCACUGCAAGCAAAACUGAUGUCUGAUGAAGCAUUGAUCUUUUCUGGUCAUGAGAGUUCUUGCGGAACCUAUUUUACGAAGGGUACGAGUAACUUGAGAAAAACAACCCCUGCUUCCAUCUUAAAGGGUGCAAGUGAAAUCAAUAAAAUGUUCAAUAUUGAUAAGAACAUCAAGAAUGAAAAGAACCCAGAUGCACACAGAUUGGCAAGGUCUGGUCUUCGUAAAGAAGUUCCAAAACAUUAUGUUGCAAGGGGGACAAGUAGGAUUAAUGAUGGAAAUGAUUCAGAUAAGACUGCAGUUUCUUUGAUACCACAUGCUUCAGGAUCACGGGGAUGGAAAAAUAGUUCAAUAAAGGACACCAAAGAAAAAUUCGGAGCUGACUGCAAGCCCACUUCUAAGUCUGGAAAGCCACAGGUUUUGAGUAGAGUGAUCCCAUCAAAACAAAAACCGUUGUCAAAGUCUCGUAACCAUGAUUUGACAUGUCGUACAGAAAGGACAAGGGACUCUUCAAGGCAUGUCAAUAAUGCAACUCAGCGUGAAAAUCAGAUGGAGAGGGCAUCCUAUUCUGAAUCUUCAGGAGCAAGAAAAACCUCAAAUUCCUCACGUGCAUCUUCAACUGAUUCUCAUCCCACCAAGAAGCCAUUAGGGUCAAGAGUAAGUAAAGGAAAACUAGCACAUGCUGAUGGAAGGUGGGGGUAAACUUGAAGUGGCAAAGGACUUCAAAGGAAAUCCUGUUAAAUCAACCUCUGAAGUAGUUCUUGAUCCUCGUAGAUCAAAUCGCAAGAUCCAGCCAACAUCAAGACUAUAGAAAGGAAUCCAGAGCUCAUUAAUUAUCACAAGACUCCUUCGGGUCCACACGAAAAAGGUUAUAAAAACUAUAACCGGAAUACUCCUUUGGGUAAUAACCAUGGUUUAAUGAAGGCCGCAGUUGGUUGUCUCACAUAAUUUGCAUAAAUUUGUAUAUUAUAUAUAAUAGGGGACAUAGCUAAGGGAAUUCUUGCUAUAUAUAAAUUUGUAGGCUGGCUGGCUGUACAUGGAAUUUAUCCAUGUUGACUUAUUUAUAGAAGUUUGCUGAUAUAUAUCAAAUGGUAACAUAGUACUUCCUUGGGUAUUAUAGUACACAACUGUUUUUGCUCCCAUUUUCUCCUUUGCCUAUUGUCUGUGCUAUAAAUAUAGGUUGGCAAAAUCUGGGAUAACAAUUGCUGUGGCAAUCAUCAGCACUGUAAAAAAAGACUU
This is an RNA transcript of Vicia villosa (hairy vetch), 4278 nucleotides long. RefSeq lists it as uncharacterized. The record is from RefSeq and is a predicted model, not a curated record. The transcript is spliced from 12 exons. NCBI's taxonomy places the organism in Eukaryota, Viridiplantae, Streptophyta, Magnoliopsida, Fabales, Fabaceae.